GAUGCCAACUAGGUGUUGGGGAAGGAGACUUCCUUAGUACCGUAGCUAACGCGUGAAGUUGACCGCCUGGGGAGUACGGUCGCAAGAUUAAAACUCAAAGGAAUUGACGGGGACCCGCACAAGCGGUGGAUGAUGUGGAUUAAUUCGAUGCAACGCGAAAAACCUUACCUACCCUUGACAUGCCAGGAAUCCCGGAGAGAUUUGGGAGUGCUCGAAAGAGAGCCUGGACACAGGUGCUGCAUGGCUGUCGUCAGCUCGUGUCGUGAGAUGUUGGGUUAAGUCCCGCAACGAGCGCAACCCUUGUCAUUAGUUGCCAUCAUUUAGUUGGGCACUCUAAUGAGACUGCCGGUGACAAACCGGAGGAAGGUGGGGAUGACGUCAAGUCCUCAUGGCCCUUAUGGGUAGGGCUUCACACGUCAUACAAUGGUCGGUACAGAGGGUUGCCAAGCCGCGAGGUGGAGCCAAUCCCAGAAAGCCGAUCGUAGUCCGGAUCGGAGUCUGCAACUCGACUCCGUGAAGUCGGAAUCGCUAGUAAUCGUGGAUCAGCAUGUCACGGUGAAUACGUUCCCGGGUCUUGUACACACCGCCCGUCACACCAUGGGAGUGGUUUUCACCAGAA
Molecule: ribosomal RNA, 619 nt
Filed under: uncultured beta proteobacterium
Lineage: Bacteria; Pseudomonadati; Pseudomonadota; Betaproteobacteria
Description: bacterial SSU rRNA
Rfam family: Bacterial small subunit ribosomal RNA
Source: RNAcentral